GGUGAAAAGGUAGGGUAAGAGCCUACCGGGAGAUGAAGUAAUUCGUCUCCGUCCAGGCAAACCCCUUCCGGAGCAAGGCCAAAUAGGGAAUUCAUACCGUGGCCCGCGGUUGUUCACGUCAAGACGUGGACAGAAUUCCGGGUAGGCCGCAUGAGAUGAAUGAUCGCCACCCUGCUUUGCAGGGGACAGAAUCCGGCUUACAGCCACUAUUUCCUG
Molecule: RNase P RNA, 216 nt
Filed under: Lentisphaerota bacterium
Lineage: Bacteria; Pseudomonadati; Lentisphaerota
Description: Lentisphaerae bacterium partial RNase P RNA component class A
Rfam family: Bacterial RNase P class A
About the family: Ribonuclease P (RNase P) is a ubiquitous endoribonuclease, found in archaea, bacteria and eukarya as well as chloroplasts and mitochondria. Its best characterised activity is the generation of mature 5'-ends of tRNAs by cleaving the 5'-leader elements of precursor-tRNAs. Cellular RNase Ps are ribonucleoproteins.
Source: RNAcentral